RNAcentral lists this long non-coding RNA (602 nucleotides) under Brassica rapa (field mustard). Its description in RNAcentral is "long non-coding RNA (BRAP_LNC000986)". The record is from RNAcentral. Lineage: Eukaryota; Viridiplantae; Streptophyta; Magnoliopsida; Brassicales; Brassicaceae.
ACAAAAGUAUUUUCAGAAAAGUUUAUAAGCCUGAAACGUCUAUCUUAUUCUUUCUCUCGAACUCGUGUGUAACACAUUGUGAUCGUUGUGUAACACAAGCGGUUGGUAAAAGAUUAACAUGAUUUACCAUUUUCAUAACGUUAAAUAUGAGAGGGUUAGAUCUGUUUGGAAGUAUUUGAGUGUAGAUGUGAAGUUUGUCAGUCGCAACACAGCUGCAAAAGAUGUUUACAGGUUCUAUCAAAGUUUGGGAGUAUAUAUUUAAUAACAGCGAGGUGCGACGCGAGAUUUGACUUGGUAGAAAGACGGCGGUGAAGAACGGAGAUGGAAGAACGAUGGUAGGAGGCGAGGAACUCUAUCCUUGCAUGAUGAACGUGUGUCACCACAUGUGUUCUACUAUUGUUAUUUUGGCGCUUUGAUGUAAAAUACGUAUCGAAUCCAGAGUGAUAGGAGGAGCAUAUAUUGAGCAUAGGCGUCACCUCUUCACCGACUUGAAAGUCUUUGUCGGAAAACUAGCUGAAGCUCCACUUGAACACACUGGAGCAAUAGUCUGCUAAAAAAGUCCAUCGAGAACGAUAGAGGAGAGUGAAAGAUCACCAGGCCAG